GAUGAACGCUGGCGGCGUGCCUAAUACAUGCAAGUCGAGCGAACAGACGAGGUGCUUGCUCCUCUGACGUUAGCGGCGGACGGGUGAGUAACACGUGGAUAACCUACCUAUAAGACUGGGAUAACUUCGGGAAACCGGAGCUAAUACCGGAUAAUAUAUUGAACCGCAUGGUUCAAUAGUGAAAGACGGUUUUGCUGUCACUUAUAGAUGGAUCCGCGCCGCAUUAGCUAGUUGGUAAGGUAACGGCUUACCAAGGCAACGAUGCGUAGCCGACCUGAGAGGGUGAUCGGCCACACUGGAACUGAGACACGGUCCAGACUCCUACGGGAGGCAGCAGUAGGGAAUCUUCCGCAAUGGGCGAAAGCAUGACGGAGCAACGCCGCGUGAGUGAUGAAGGUCUUCGGAUCGUAAAACUCUGUUAUUAGGGAAGAACAAAUGUGUAAGUAACUAUGCACGUCUUGACGGUACCUAAUCAGAAAGCCACGGCUAACUACGUG
This 497-nucleotide ribosomal RNA is filed under the name uncultured bacterium. RNAcentral's name for it is "partial 16S ribosomal RNA". It matches the Rfam family "Bacterial small subunit ribosomal RNA", at positions 28 to 507 of the family's 1533-position model. The record is from RNAcentral.